GCUGUGAUGGCCGAGUGGUUAAGGCUUUGCAAUGGGGUUUUGAUCCCCAAUCGCAGGUUCGAACCCUGCUCUCAGCG
Molecule: non-coding RNA, 77 nt
Organism: Dallia pectoralis (Alaska blackfish)
Lineage: Eukaryota; Metazoa; Chordata; Actinopteri; Esociformes; Umbridae
Source: the annotation of a GenBank genome assembly